GACGAACCGUGCGAACGUUGUUCGGAAUCACUGGGCUUAAAGGGCGCGUAGGCGGGCCUUCAAGUCCGGGGUGAAAUCCUCCCGCUUAACGGGAGAAGAGCCUCGGAGACUGAGGGCCUCGAGGAGGGUAGGGGCAAGCGGAACUAUGGGUGGAGCGGUGAAAUGCAUUGAUAUCCAUAGGAACUCCGGUGGCGAAGGCGGCUUGCUGGACCCUUUCUGACGCUGAGGCGCGAAAGCCAGGGGAGCAAACGGG
RNAcentral lists this ribosomal RNA (253 nucleotides) under uncultured bacterium. RNAcentral describes it as "partial 16S ribosomal RNA". It matches the Rfam family "Bacterial small subunit ribosomal RNA", at positions 524 to 776 of the family's 1533-position model. The record is from RNAcentral.